RNAcentral lists this ribosomal RNA (252 nucleotides) under uncultured Bacteroidales bacterium. Its description in RNAcentral is "partial 16S ribosomal RNA". It matches the Rfam family "Bacterial small subunit ribosomal RNA", at positions 524 to 776 of the family's 1533-position model. Lineage: Bacteria; Pseudomonadati; Bacteroidota; Bacteroidia; Bacteroidales. The record is from RNAcentral.
UACGUAGGGGGCAAGCGUUAUCCGGAUUUAUUGGGUUUAAAGGGUGCGUAGGCGGGUUAUCAAGUCAGCGGUAAAAUCGAGGGGCUCAACCCCUUUAAGCCGUUGAAACUGGUGAUCUUGAGUGGGCGAGAAGUAUGCGGAAUGCGUGGUGUAGCGGUGAAAUGCAUAGAUAUCACGCAGAACUCCGAUUGCGAAGGCAGCAUACCGGCGCCCAACUGACGCUGAAGCACGAAAGCGUGGGUAUCGAACAGG